UACAGAGGGGGCAAGCGUUGUUCGGAAUUACUGGGCGUAAAGGGCGCGUAGGCGGCCUGCUAAGUCGAACGUGAAAUCCCCGAGCUCAACUCGGGAACUGCGUCCGAUACUGGCAGGCUUGAAUCCGGGAGAGGGAUGCGGAAUUCCAGGUGUAGCGGUGAAAUGCGUAGAUAUCUGGAGGAACACCGGUGGCGAAGGCGGCGACCUGGUCCGAGACUGACGCUGAGGCGCGAAAGCGUGGGGAGCAAACAGG
This 253-nucleotide ribosomal RNA is filed under the name uncultured bacterium. RNAcentral describes it as "partial 16S ribosomal RNA". It matches the Rfam family "Bacterial small subunit ribosomal RNA", at positions 524 to 776 of the family's 1533-position model. The record is from RNAcentral.